Molecule: unclassified non-coding RNA, 253 nt
Filed under: uncultured Alphaproteobacteria bacterium
Lineage: Bacteria; Pseudomonadati; Pseudomonadota; Alphaproteobacteria
Description: contains 16S-23S intergenic spacer region
Rfam family: Bacterial small subunit ribosomal RNA
Source: RNAcentral
UACGGAGGGGGCAAGCGUUGUUCGGAAUUACUGGGCGUAAAGCGCGCGUAGGCGGUCUGUAAAGUCAGGCGUGAAAGCCCUGGGCUCAACCCAGGAACUGCGCUUGAUACUGGCAGACUAGAGUCCGGGAGAGGAGAGUGGAAUUCCCAGUGUAGAGGUGAAAUUCGUAGAUAUUGGGAAGAACACCAGUGGCGAAGGCGGCUCUCUGGACCGGUACUGACGCUGAGGUGCGAAAGCGUGGGGAGCAAACAGG